RNAcentral lists this ribosomal RNA (724 nucleotides) under uncultured bacterium. RNAcentral's name for it is "bacterial SSU rRNA". It matches the Rfam family "Bacterial small subunit ribosomal RNA", at positions 71 to 813 of the family's 1533-position model. The record is from RNAcentral.
AAGUUUCCUUCGGGAAACGGAUUACGGCGGACGGGUGAGUAACACGUGGGCAACCUACCUCAUAGAGGGGAAUAGCCUUCCGAAAGGGAGAUUAAUACCGCAUAACAUUUUUGAUUGGCAUCAAUCGGAAAUCAAAGGAGCAAUCCGCUAUGAGAUGGGCCCGCGUCGCAUUAGUUAGUUGGUGGGGUAAAGGCCUACCAAGACGACGAUGCGUAGCCGACCUGAGAGGGUGAUCGGCCACAUUGGGACUGAGACACGGUCCAGACUCCUACGGGAGGCAGCAGUGGGGAAUAUUGCACAAUGGAGGAAACUCUGAUGCAGCAACGCCGCGUGAGCGAUGAAGGUCUUCGGAUCGUAAGGCUCUGUCUUUAGGGAUGAUAAUGACAGUACCUAAGGAGGAAGCCACGGCUAACUACGUGCCAGCAGCCGCGGUAAUACGUAGGUGGCGAGCGUUAUCCGGAAUUAUUGGGCGUAAAGGGAGCGUAGGCGGAUACUUAAGUGGGAUGUGAAAGACUUGGGCUCAACCCAAGGGCUGCAUUCCAAACUGAGUAUCUAGAGUGCAGGAGAGGAGAGUGGAAUUCCUAGUGUAGCGGUGAAAUGCGUAGAGAUUAGGAAGAACACCAGUGGCGAAGGCGACUCUCUGGACUGUAACUGACGCUGAGGCUCGAAAGCGUGGGGAGCAAACAGGAUUAGAUACCCUGGUAGUCCCGCCGUAAACGAUGAA